RNAcentral lists this transfer RNA (76 nucleotides) under Deinococcus sp. Its description in RNAcentral is "tRNA-Cys". It matches the Rfam family "tRNA". Rfam says of the family: Transfer RNA (tRNA) molecules are approximately 80 nucleotides in length. Their secondary structure includes four short double-helical elements and three loops (D, anti-codon, and T loops). The record is from RNAcentral. Lineage: Bacteria; Thermotogati; Deinococcota; Deinococci; Deinococcales; Deinococcaceae.
GGCGCCGUAGCCAAGUGGUUAAGGCGGCGGUCUGCAAAACCGCUAUUCGCCGGUUCGACUCCGGCCGGCGCCUCCA